Non-coding RNA from Podarcis lilfordi (Lilford's wall lizard), 74 nucleotides. The record is from the annotation of a GenBank genome assembly. NCBI's taxonomy places the organism in Eukaryota, Metazoa, Chordata, Lepidosauria, Squamata, Lacertidae.
UCUCUUGUUAGCUCAGUCGGUAGAACAUGAGACUCUUAAUCUCAGGGUCGCAAGUUUGAGCCCUGUUUUGGGUU